This 72-nucleotide transfer RNA is filed under the name Rhipicephalus microplus (southern cattle tick). Its description in RNAcentral is "tRNA-Asp". It matches the Rfam family "tRNA". Rfam says of the family: Transfer RNA (tRNA) molecules are approximately 80 nucleotides in length. Their secondary structure includes four short double-helical elements and three loops (D, anti-codon, and T loops). Lineage: Eukaryota; Metazoa; Arthropoda; Arachnida; Ixodida; Ixodidae. The record is from Rfam by way of RNAcentral.
UCCUCGUUAGUAUAGUUGUCAGUAUCCCCGCCUGUCACGCGGGAGACCGGGGUUCGAUUCCCCGACGGGGAG